UGACAGCUCAGAAGCCUGAAGUCUGCUUCAGAUUCUGUGUCUCCCUAUCUCUCUGCCCUCCCCCACUCACAGUCUGUCUCUGUCUCUCAAAAAUGAAUAAACAUUAUAAUAAAAUAAUGAAAUAAUCCACCCAGAGCCCAGCCACUACGGUGGUGUCUUUUCCACCUACUAUCCCUACUUUCGUCCUCAUGGUUUGAAGCUCCUUGCUUCCUAGGAGCAGAACUGGUAGGAAAGAUAGUGACUACUGAGUCACAAAGAGGUGGUGUCAGGGUGGAGGAGAAGGAGAUGAAAGGAAAGAGGGAGGUCUUGAAGUGGGAAACGGCUGUGAAGGAGAGGGGCUGCAGCUAAAGUCCUGGUUUUGUGGGGAAGUUCUAUGAAUCUCUAGUGAGAGAGAUUCAGCUGCAAAAUGUAUGGGGGCACAUUACAGGGAUGGAACACUAUCCAAAACUUAGCAUCCUUUGGACUCAGCAGAGGUUAAAAAAAUUAUGAAACGCUCUUAGAGGUUCGUGUGUGUGUGUGUGUGUGUGUGUGUGUGUGUGUGUGUGUUGGCCUCGUUUAAGGAGGGAAGAGCAACAAGUGCCUGAAUCUCCCCCCCACCCCCAAGGAAGCUGGGAAGUGAGCAGAGCCCAAUGGAUGGAACGAACAGCUGAUCAGUUUCUCUUUUCUUUGUAAAUGAUUGUCCUCCUCUCUCCUUCAAGACCAGAGUUUCAUAUACAGUCACUCAGUGGCUGUCCUGUGAAGGAUUAGUGUCUCUCUAGAAAGACAUUGUACCUGAGUUGUUACACUCAUAGCCUUGGGGUCAGACAGAGCUCAGCUUGGUUCUCUUCUCCAGCACACACUACUAAUGUGACCUGUAUUACUGCCGUGACCUCCAGCAUGUUAUUUCUCCUCACACGUAGUAAGCUCUCCUCACACGUGGACAAUGGUGAUGCAGACUCCUAUUAUUUUUGCUGAGUUUACUCGUGUGGGAUUUUGGGAACUUGGGUCUGAGGGUCAAGUUUUUUUCUUUGAAAAAACAAAAAACUUACUGAAAUAGAGACUUAAAUAUUCAGGAUAAGAGCCCCAGCUUUGCUAUUGCUUGAGUAAGAGCGCAAGAGUCACCUCACUGGGCUGUGCUUUGCUCUCUGUAACUGCACGGUGUGUCUGUGUGUGGGGGAGGGGGGCGGGUAGGCGUAUCAAAACAAGUGAUGCUCCCCCAUCUCUCAGGAUUGUAUUAGAACCUGGGUGGGCUGUAGCUUUGUUAAUUCUUGCUGGGAAUAAUGGGUGGGAUAGUGUGUCAGAGGACAGGGUCUGGAGGGGGGGAAAGAGAGGAGAAGAGACGUUUCCAACCACCAGGUGUUGCGAGUAACAUCACCUCCGUUUCUCCACUCCUUAGGUGGUUCAGGGCAAGAGGUGAGGCAGCACGUGCUGCCAUAACAUCUCAGCCUCCAUGUGAGGGACAUCUCUCCCAGCCUCUGUGUUUUUCUUCAGGACCUGAGACCUGCCACACCGUUCUGUGAUGAAAGUUGAGAUGGCAGAUCCCGUUGUCAAGCUGCUUGGAUGGUGCUGCACUCAGAACGAUCCUAGGCACAAGAUGAACCAACCUGUCAGAGGUUAAAACUGGCCCUCCUAUCUGAUUCCCUGUAUUUAUGGCAUCUACAUUUACUUGAGCUCCUGACUUCUACACGGAAGGAGGAGGGAAUGAGUCCUCUUGAAAAUUCUUUGCCAGCUGUGAAUGUGAUGUGUCUGCGAAAGAGAACUUAAUCAAUAUUCAAGAACAACAGGAGGCAAGGUUGUGUUUCAUUAAACGACUGACCAUGGAAAACAGUGGAGGGAUGAAGCAGCAAUCUAGAAAUAGGGAGUCCAGGAAUGAUCCUGAUGAGCAAGACCUGCAUCUUCAAAGAGGCACCCAGGUGACUUAGAAAUUAAACGUGGUGUAGUUUGGGGUACAUUUCUUCCUUCCUGAGGCAACCCAGGAACCUGGUGGCUGCAAGCCAUUGCAGGCUGGCAGAGGUCUGAACUCCUGUGAAAAUCUGAUCGUGUCUGGGUGAGGAGCCCUUCUCCCAAGCUCCUGUAGCAGCUUAUGUGUUUCCCGUGAACCCACCAUACCUCUUUCCUACCACACCAUGAUCGCCCAUUUACUCAUUUCUAGAAUCUUCCUGAUUACAAAGGAGGCUCUGGGAUGUCAGGGACUGUAUCUGCCCAGAUCACCAUUUUAUUUCCCUUGCUUAGCUCAUUGCCUGGAAGAUAAUAGGUAUUCAAUAUUUACUGAAUAAAUAAAUGAAAAUCAUAAAGCUUU
Molecule: long non-coding RNA, 2278 nt
Organism: Felis catus (domestic cat)
Lineage: Eukaryota; Metazoa; Chordata; Mammalia; Carnivora; Felidae
Exons: 6
Source: RefSeq, a predicted model, not a curated record